RNAcentral lists this ribosomal RNA (301 nucleotides) under uncultured bacterium. RNAcentral's name for it is "partial 16S ribosomal RNA". It matches the Rfam family "Bacterial small subunit ribosomal RNA", at positions 509 to 809 of the family's 1533-position model. The record is from RNAcentral.
CAGCCGCCGCGGGAAUACGGAGGGUGCAAGCGUUAUCCGGAUUUACUGGGUUUAAAGGGUGCGUAGGCGGACUUGUAAGUCCGAGGUAAAAUCUCUGAGCUUAACUCGGAAACUGCCUUGGAUACUAUAGGUCUUGAAUCUCGUUGAGGUUUGCGGAAUAUGUCAUGUAGCGGUGAAAUGCUUAGAUAUGACAUAGAACACCUAUUGCGAAGGCAGCAGGCUAAACGAAUAUUGACGCUGAUGCACGAAAGCGUGGGGAUCAAACAGGAUUAGAUACCCCCGUAGUCCCUGUCUCUUAUAA